AUGUUCGCUUCAGCAGAAAAACUAAAAUUGGAAUAAUACAGAGUUUAGCAUGGCCCCUGCACAAGAAUGACACAGAAAUUCGUGAAGUGUUCCAUGUUUUU
Ursus thibetanus thibetanus is the source of this 101-nucleotide small nuclear RNA. The record is from Ensembl. Lineage: Eukaryota; Metazoa; Chordata; Mammalia; Carnivora; Ursidae.